GCCGAAGUGGUGGAACUGGUAGACACGCACGGUUGAGGGCCGUGUGGGGAGACCCAUGGGGGUUCGAAUCCCCCCUUCGGCACCA
Molecule: transfer RNA, 85 nt
Filed under: Calditrichota bacterium
Lineage: Bacteria; Pseudomonadati; Calditrichota
Also listed under: 1 other name
Description: Calditrichaeota bacterium tRNA-Leu
Rfam family: tRNA
About the family: Transfer RNA (tRNA) molecules are approximately 80 nucleotides in length. Their secondary structure includes four short double-helical elements and three loops (D, anti-codon, and T loops). Further hydrogen bonds mediate the characteristic L-shaped molecular structure. tRNAs have two regions of fundamental functional importance: the anti-codon, which is responsible for specific mRNA codon recognition, and the 3' end, to which the tRNAs corresponding amino acid is attached (by aminoacyl-tRNA synthetases). tRNAs cope with the degeneracy of the genetic code in two manners: having more than one tRNA (with a specific anti-codon) for a particular amino acid; and 'wobble' base-pairing, i.e. permitting non-standard base-pairing at the 3rd anti-codon position.
Source: RNAcentral